This 65-nucleotide transfer RNA is filed under the name Acidobacteriota bacterium. RNAcentral describes it as "tRNA-OTHER". The record is from RNAcentral. Lineage: Bacteria; Pseudomonadati; Acidobacteriota. RNAcentral also lists the same sequence under 2 other names.
GUAGUUGGUAAGAAAAUCCUGUGUCCCUUGUGGACGUGCGGGUUCGAUUCCCGCCCUAAGCACCA